RNAcentral lists this ribosomal RNA (121 nucleotides) under uncultured Ochromonas. RNAcentral describes it as "partial Eukaryotic large subunit ribosomal RNA". It matches the Rfam family "Eukaryotic large subunit ribosomal RNA", at positions 1501 to 1614 of the family's 3401-position model. Lineage: Eukaryota; Chrysophyceae; Chromulinales; Chromulinaceae. The record is from RNAcentral.
GAAAGGUUCCAUGUGAACAGUAAUUGGACAUGUGUGAGUCGAUCCUAAGAGAAAGGACAAUUCUUUGUGAAAGCGGACCUUUUUUGGUUGGUCCCAGCUAUCGAAAGGGAAUAAGGGAGAC